Molecule: ribosomal RNA, 36 nt
Filed under: Coccocarpia sp.
Lineage: Eukaryota; Fungi; Ascomycota; Lecanoromycetes; Peltigerales; Coccocarpiaceae
Description: partial 28S ribosomal RNA
Source: RNAcentral
GACCUCGGAUCAGACAAGGAUACCCGCUGAACUUAA